Trachemys scripta elegans is the source of this 2143-nucleotide RNA transcript. RefSeq lists it as uncharacterized. The transcript has 5 exons. The record is from RefSeq and is a predicted model, not a curated record. NCBI's taxonomy places the organism in Eukaryota, Metazoa, Chordata, Testudines, Emydidae.
GUGCUCCCCAUAAAUUUUUUCAGUUGAAACUCACAGACCCAAAUGCCACGCAACAGCAGAGAGGCAAGCGAAAGGAGGAGACCCAGCACGACCAGGCACUGGAGAAAUGGAAGAAGCGUUUUUCCAGCUUUACCAAGAAUUCACACAACUGCAGGAUUUAUGUGCAAAGCAGGCUGAGUUGCUACAGAAGUUGAUUGUGAAGAAGGAACCAAUGACUGACAUGCCAAUUUCGAUGCCAAUCCAGUGCACGGACGACGGGGGAUUAGCACAAUCAGAGAGACUCUUCUUCCAACAGCAGUUACCAAAGGUUCCCAGCUCUAUCCUUUCCAACCCAACAGUUCCUACAUGGCCCAACUCCGCAGUUCUUCGGGACCAGCCACAAGAUGCAGACAUGGUUUCUCGUUUUGAUAUUAAAUACCCCCCGAGUGCAGCAAACGCCAGCUUGUUAAGCAGUGCCAAGGGGAAGGCAGAUUUCGCAAUAGCACUUUCCAGCCAGAACCACUACAAACAGCACAUGGGCAAGAAGGCGGCUUGUGACACGCUGUUGAAAAAUUAUACGACAUUUCCUGCCUUGAAAGCGGACAAGGAACAAUCCACAGCCCCUCCCAUACCUCCAGAGCUUGCUACCUUAAAUCCGGAGGAUGUAGGCUCUUUUCCCAGUUUCUUGGAUCUUUAUGAAGCACCACAAGAUUUACAGACGGAAAGUACUUCCCUUCAAGCAGCAGAAAUUAAAGUUCCUAUAGAAAUACGAGGACCCACACAGCCUCUUCCAAAGAACUUCAUCCAAAGCCUUUUGAAAAAUAGAUGAUUUGGGCCAUCUAGGACUUCCUGGACUCCAGGAUGGGCGGUAGAAGACAGUCCACUUGGUCACAGCGGGAAUUUUGAACUCCAAGGGUACUCUGCAUACACAGACCUGUGAGUUUUGCCAAAUCAUUUUCCCAGCUGGGGAAGCAGCACAAGGAGACUAUGACAAGCAUCUCAUAGCUCAUAUCGAAUAGGAUUGGUAUCAUCAUGUACUUGUAACCCGCUUACGGAGGAUGGCUUUCCGUCCCCCUUUAGUGGCUGGACAACAUAAGGGUUAUGAGCCUGCUAUAGAACUGUUGGAAUAAGUGACUUCUUGACUCAGUGGCUGAACAAAAACACUGUGAAAAAACAUUUUGGUUUGGUUUGACCCGAAAUGAAAAUGUUUCCAUUUUUCCAGCCGAGCUCAAAAAGUAAAAAAGAAUUUGUUUUGAAUUGAACGAAACAUUUUAUUUCCUGUCUGAGUUUUUAUCUUUUUCAUCUUUUUCAAAUAGCAAUUUGAAAUGCUCAGAUGAAAUGUUUCAUUUUGGAAAUGAAAAAAAUGAACCAUUUCAGCAUUUCUGAGUUUUUUGAUAUUUUUGAUAUUUGACCCAAUUUGCUAUUCACUAAAAUUGACCCAAAUUUGUGAAUUGUUUCCAUCAGCCCAAAUCUGCAUUUUUUUUUGGUGGCAGCGGAAAUGAAUCACACAAAAUGUAGAUUGUUGAGCUCUGUUGGCUUUGAGCUGGAUCUUUUAGCUAGGCAGUUGUGGCUCAGAUGUUUGUGCUGGCAAAGAGAAAAUAAUAUCUGCUUCUCCUCCCAGAAAUGGAACCUCUCCAAUAAAGGAAUGUCCAAGCUUGUUAAGUCUCUUAAACCAUGUUCUGUCAUGCGUUGGUGGCAACCAGCCUCUUAAUCACCCUUGUAACUUAAAAAAAAAAAGAAAAAGAAAGGAAGAAUUUAUAUUGAGCUGGACUUCGAAGUCACCAAUAUAAGGGGCGGUAAUUAAAUCGGACAUUCGUUAGACAUAAAGCGUCUAACCUUUCCUCCUGCUCUGAUAUGCCAUUAAGGCUCUGACCAUCUAGCACCAAAUGUGAAUGUAGCAGAGAUUCUGGAUGAAAGCGGGUGUAUACGGUGAUAGAUGAUAUUAGUGCCACUGUGACUUAUUCAAAUGCCAAGUUAUAUUUAUAAUUUAUCAAAAUACCCAGGCUUUUCUUUGGGGAGAUUAAUGACAGUUUCGUGUAUUUUUUGGGUGUGAGUCAUUGAUCGCAGGAGCUUUUUCCAUGCAACAAAAAUGAUUAGGGGGCUGGAACACAUGACUUAGGAGGAGAGGCUGAGGGAACUGGGAUUGUUUAGUCUCCAGAACAGA